AAGAAAGAAAGAAAGAAACACCCUUUCAUCAUAACACGUGUUGUUCACGCUGAGAGAUGCUGUGUGCUUUGUAUGUUUGUUUAAAGAAGUUAUCUUCUGGGAAGUGCUAUGGUUUGAAUGUUACCCUUCCAAAAUUCAUCUUGAAACAUAAUUCAGAUUAUGGUUGUAUUAAGACUCAGGGUUUUUGGAUGUGAGAUGUGAUAAAGUCAUGAGGGCUUCCCCAUCAAGAUAUAGAUUCAUGCCUUAUAAAAGGGGUGGAAGGUACUAGCUUAGGCCCUUUUGCCUCCUAUCCAUUCCGUUAUGUGAGGACACAGUGUUUGUCCACUCUGGAGGAUGCAGCAACAAGGCGCCAUUGUGGAAGUGGAGACUGGACCUUCAGCAGACACUGAAUAUGUUGGCACCUUGAUCUCGAACUUCCCAGCCUCCAGGACUAUGAGAGGGUUGUUAGCGAUGGAUAUUUGACCUGGGAAGACAUCACAAGCAACCACAGUCCUGAUUCCAGUGCCAAAUCUGAGCAGGCCCAGCACUCCACACAGAACGUCCCUGAUUCAAACUGGUGCCCAACAGGCCUUUCCUCAGUAGCAUGGCCAGGUUAGGGCACCAAAGGGUUAAACUGUGACAAUGUGGCAGACUCCAAACUCCACGUAGGCAGGGAGCCUGUCUGCUGCUCUCAACUUUGGACUCAGCAUCGAACAUAGUCCCUGGUGCUUAGAAGAUGCUCAACAAAUACUUCACAAUUGAAUGAACACAUGGCUAUGCUGUCAUAGAAUUUGAAAGGUAAUGGACAAUGUGAUAAAUGAAUAUGGCAUUAGGAUUUAGCAUGGGCUGGAAGCAGAGGCUCAAACCUAUAAUCCCAGCACUUUGGGAGGCUGAGGCGGGCAGAUCACUUGAGCCCAGGAGUUCGAGACCAGCUUGGGCAAUAUGGUGAAACCCAGUCUCUACAAAAAAUACACAAAAAUUAGCUGGGCGUGGUGGUGCUACCUGGGAGGCUGAGGUGAGAGGCUUGCUUGAGCCUUGGAGGUCCAGGCUGCAGUGAAACAUGAUUGUGCAACUGCACUCUAGCCUGGGCAACAGAGUGAAAGCCAGUCUCAAAAAAAAAAAAAAAAAAAAAAAAAAGAUUCAGCAUGAAUAAGACCUAUAUUGCCAUGCUCCCAGAGCUGUUAUGAAGAACCCAUUCCACAUUGGGAGUGAGAGCAUUACGGGUGCUCACAGUCUGUUCUGGGUUACUCUUGUCCUUCUGUGCUCCUCUUCACGCCCUCCAGCUCAUUCCCCACGUGCAGAUGAAGAAAAAGCAACAAAGAGCAUCUAGUACAUUGAAUGCCUGGUAAAAAGGCAUCCUCUUCCUCAUCAACAUGUAUGGAGCAUUCAUGGGUACAGGCUUCAGGCCCACAGAAAUGAAAGGCAAAUAGCUUGAGUCGGAAUCAAUGAUUAGUUCUUCCCCGGCUCUGUGACUGCGUAGAUGUAUGGUCUUACAUGGAGAAGUUUGUAUCUUAGAGUCUCUAUAGAUGCCCCACCCAUUUCAUACAUCUAUUAGGAAUACGAAAGGUGCAGAGUUCUUGCAGGGAAAAUGUCUUGCCAAUAUGUACUUGAGAAGACCAUCCUUUUCAGUUGAACAACAAGAACCAAAAUGUUAAUCAAAUAUGUCCAGUGACUUUACAAUUUGCAGAGCAACUGAGAAAUAUAGAAAUUGGGCUGGGCAUGGUGGCUCACGCCUGUAAUCCCAGCACUUUGGGAGGCCGAAGCGGGCAGAUCACGAGGUCAAGAGAUUGAGACCAUCCUGGCCAACAUGGUGAAAUCCCAUCUCUACUAAAAAUACAAAAAUUAGCUGGGUGUGGUGGCACGUGCCUGUAGUCCCAGCUACUUGGGAGGCUGAGGAAGGAGGAUCACUUGAACCCGGGAGGCAGAGGUUGCAGUGAGCCAAGAUCGUGCCACUGCACUCCAGCUUGGGCGACAGAGUGAGACUCUGUCUCAAAAUAAAAAUAAAAAUAAAAAUAAAAGAAAUAUGAAAAUCGUUAGUAAUGGGAAUGAUGUGAGGAACUCAGUAUUUUUAAGCUGUUAGAUGGUAGGGGGCGAGAGAUAAAACCUUCACGGCAUAUGCUUACCUUGUAGAUCAUUAAUAAAUACAGGCAACACUAUGGCUCUGACUUUACACAGCAACAGUUCAUCUACAUUGCCACAAGGAAGUAGCCAGGGAUAUUACUAAUUUUAAAUACCAGCCCGUCAGCAAGAAUGAAGCUGAAAUUCAGGGCUGUUCCAAGAAAGGGCAGAAACAUGCCAGGAGCGCUGAGUAAACUUUCAGUCUGAAUCCAUGUGAAUUACUGGGGAGUCCUGGAUUUCGAAAUUCUUUUGCGGUUCACACCACCCACGUGUCAGUAAACAGGCUAAGGCUAAGGCUACUCCUGUUCUAUAUUGCCACCUAGUGGAUAAUGAUACCCGCGUUCCUUCGUGCAUUUGCUUCAGAGAGACUUGCCCUAGUUAGCAAACCAGCUGAUGAAUAUUAUUUGAGACACAAAUGAACUAACCUUUGAGUUUGUUUCCUUUGGACUUUGAGAUGUCUGUUUACUGAAGCGAAUGUGGCAUUUCAUCAUCUUCGAUCAGCCUGUAGGAAAAAAUAAGCAGCAUUUAUAAAUGGCAUCUCUUCAAGAAUUAAAAAUGCAUAAAGGUGGUAAUAUUUCCACUGAGUAGCCGUCAGUAAUUAAGUUUUUAAAUUUCUCUUUUUCUCCUUCUCUGUCUUUCCUAUUUACUUUUGAACCUUUAAUUACUAUACUGUGUCAUUUCAGGCAAAACAAUGCUAGACCCAGGCUUCAGGUUCCAUUGUUGUAGAAACAACGUAUUAGUGGAUCCUGAUAUCAAUAUGAGCAGCAUCA
This 2867-nucleotide long non-coding RNA is filed under the name Homo sapiens (human). RNAcentral's name for it is "HSALNT0247702". The record is from RNAcentral. Lineage: Eukaryota; Metazoa; Chordata; Mammalia; Primates; Hominidae.